CCUACGGGAGGCAGCAGUCGAGAAUCAUUCACAAUGGGGGAAACCCUGAUGGUGCGACGCCGCGUGGGGGAAUGAAGGUCUUCGGAUUGUACACCCCUGUCAUGUGGGAGCAAAUUAAAAAGAUAGUACCACAAGAGGAAGAGACGGCUAACUCGGUGCCAGCAGCCGCGGUAAUACAGAGGUCUCAAGCGUUGUUCGGAAUCACUGGGCGUAAAGCGUGCGUAGGCUGUUUCGUAAGUCGUGUGUGAAAGGCGCGGGCUCAACCCGCGGAAGGCACAUGAUACUGGGAGACUAGAGUAAUGGAGGGGGAACCGGAAUUCUCGGUGUAGCAGUGAAAUGCGUAGAUAUCGAGAGGAACACUCGUGGCGAAGGCGGGUUCCUGGACAUUAACUGACGCUGAGGCACGAAGGCCAGGGGAGCGAAAGGGAUUAGAUACCCCAGUAGUC
This 446-nucleotide ribosomal RNA is filed under the name uncultured bacterium. RNAcentral describes it as "partial 16S ribosomal RNA". It matches the Rfam family "Bacterial small subunit ribosomal RNA", at positions 338 to 795 of the family's 1533-position model. The record is from RNAcentral.